This 69-nucleotide transfer RNA is filed under the name Rattus norvegicus (Norway rat). It matches the Rfam family "tRNA". From Rfam's summary of the family: Transfer RNA (tRNA) molecules are approximately 80 nucleotides in length. Their secondary structure includes four short double-helical elements and three loops (D, anti-codon, and T loops). Lineage: Eukaryota; Metazoa; Chordata; Mammalia; Rodentia; Muridae. The record is from Rfam by way of RNAcentral.
GGGGAUUUAGCUCAGUGGUAGAGUGCCUGCCUAGCAAGCACAAGGCCCUGGGUUCGGUCCCCAGCUCCA